GCGGACGUAGCCGAAUUGGUAUAGGCGCCGGCCUUAGGAGCCGGUGGGGAAACCCGUGAGAGUUCGAGUCUCUCCGUCCGCACCA
RNAcentral lists this transfer RNA (85 nucleotides) under candidate division WWE3 bacterium. Its description in RNAcentral is "tRNA-Leu". It matches the Rfam family "tRNA". From Rfam's summary of the family: Transfer RNA (tRNA) molecules are approximately 80 nucleotides in length. Their secondary structure includes four short double-helical elements and three loops (D, anti-codon, and T loops). Further hydrogen bonds mediate the characteristic L-shaped molecular structure. tRNAs have two regions of fundamental functional importance: the anti-codon, which is responsible for specific mRNA codon recognition, and the 3' end, to which the tRNAs corresponding amino acid is attached (by aminoacyl-tRNA synthetases). tRNAs cope with the degeneracy of the genetic code in two manners: having more than one tRNA (with a specific anti-codon) for a particular amino acid; and 'wobble' base-pairing, i.e. permitting non-standard base-pairing at the 3rd anti-codon position. The record is from RNAcentral. Lineage: Bacteria; candidate division WWE3.